UACAGAGGUCUCAAGCGUUGUUCGGAUUCAUUGGGCGUAAAGGGUGUGUAGGUGGCGCCGUAGGUCGGGUGUGAAAUUUCGGAGCUUAACUCCGAAACUGCAUUCGAUACUGCGGUGCUUGAGGACUGGAGAGGAGACUGGAAUUCAUGGUGUAGCAGUGAAAUGCGUAGAGAUCAUGAGGAAGACCAGUGGCGAAGGCGGGUCUCUGGACAGUUCCUGACACUGAGACACGAAGGCCAGGGGAGCAAACGGG
RNAcentral lists this ribosomal RNA (253 nucleotides) under uncultured bacterium. RNAcentral's name for it is "partial 16S ribosomal RNA". It matches the Rfam family "Bacterial small subunit ribosomal RNA", at positions 524 to 776 of the family's 1533-position model. The record is from RNAcentral.